This 460-nucleotide ribosomal RNA is filed under the name uncultured bacterium. RNAcentral's name for it is "partial 16S ribosomal RNA". It matches the Rfam family "Bacterial small subunit ribosomal RNA", at positions 338 to 795 of the family's 1533-position model. The record is from RNAcentral.
CCUACGGGAGGCAGCAGUGGGGAAUAUUGGUCAAUGGCCGGAAGGCUGAACCAGCCAAGUCGCGUGAGGGACGACUGCCCUAUGGGUUGUAAACCUCUUUUAUAAGGGAAGAAUAAAUGCUACGUGUAGCAUGAUGCCUGUACCUUAUGAUUAAGCAUCGGCUAACUCCGUGCCAGCAGCCGCGGUAAUACGGAGGAUCCGAGCGUUAUCCGGGUUUAUUGGGUUUAAAGGGUGGGGAGGGGGCUUUUUAAGUUAGUUGGUAAAGGUUGGGGGUCAACCCUCGUUCUGCCUUUAAAACUGGAAGACUCGAGUUCAGACGAGGUAGGCGGAAUAAGUUAAGUAGCGGUGAAAUGCUUAGAUAUAACGUAGAACUCCGAUAGCGAAGGCAGCUUACUGGACUGCAACUGACGCUGAGGCACGAGAGCGUGGGUAGCAAACAGGAUUAGAUACCCUUGUAGUC